GGCCUAACACAUGCAAGUCGAACGAGCCCUUCGGGGCUAGUGGCGGACGGGUGAGUAACACGUGGGAACGUACCUUUAGGUUCGGAACAACACAGGGAAACUUGUGCUAAUGCCGAAUAAGCCCUUCGGGGGAAAGAUUUAUCGCCUUUAGAGCGGCCCGCGUCUGAUUAGCUUGUUGGUGAGGUAAAGGCUCACCAAGGCUACGAUCAGUAGCUGGUCUGAGAGGAUGAUCAGCCACACUGGGACUGAGACACGGCCCAGACUCCUACGGGAGGCAGCAGUGGGGAAUCUUGCGCAAUGGGCGAAAGCCUGACGCAGCCAUGCCGCGUGAAUGAUGAAGGUCUUAGGAUUGUAAAAUUCUUUCACCGGGGAAGAUAAUGACGGUACCCGGAGAAGAAGCCCCGGCUAACUUCGUGCCAGCAGCCGCGGUAAUACGAAGGGGGCUAGCGU
This 450-nucleotide ribosomal RNA is filed under the name uncultured Alphaproteobacteria bacterium. RNAcentral's name for it is "bacterial SSU rRNA". It matches the Rfam family "Bacterial small subunit ribosomal RNA", at positions 45 to 541 of the family's 1533-position model. The record is from RNAcentral. Lineage: Bacteria; Pseudomonadati; Pseudomonadota; Alphaproteobacteria.